UUGUAUUAGUUUGUAUAUGCUAAUAAUUAUAGAAUCAGCUAGUACUUUUUGAUCUGUGAACAGAUUUCAAAGAUUACCAGUUUCAAAGUCAUUAUUUGCAAUAUAUAUUUUUUAUUACAAAUUUUGAAUUUUAGCUACAUUUACGUGUUCAACGAAUGUUCCUUCUACAUCUGCUAUUUGUGUUACAUCUUCUGCGGCUUCUAUGACUCUUCCAGGUAUUCAACCUUCUGCUGAGCUAACCUACCAAGACUACCUAUUAUAUAGGUCCCAGCAUCCUGGACCCACCAGCAAUAGUUCAUUUAAGCGAUGAGUCCAGUUAGGAGGAAUUUAGUUUCCUUCUUGGAAUUUUAAACAAUAUCAUUUACUAAAAGCCAAGACUUAAAUUUAUUAUAUUUUGUAUUUUGAAACUUUUUAAAAUAUAAGUUUUAAAAUUAGUUUUAUCUUUGGCCUAUUUUUAGGGUGGAUACUCCAACUUGCAUUUUGUAAUGUGGUAAGAUUAGAAAAGUUAUGUCUCUUUAAAUGAACAUAAUUUAAAAACAUUUACAAAAUUUUUAUUGACAUUUUUUGCAAGUUUGAAUGAGAAGGGGAGGGGGGCGUUGGGUGUAGCACACAUUCCUAACUGUACUAACAUAUUAUAAUAAUCUUGAAUACUUGUUUCUCUUUUCCAAUAAACUUAAUUUAAAACUAUUUUUCAAAUAUCUUUUAAAAUUUUUUUUUAGGUUGGAUACAACUGGGCAGGAAGGGGGGCGUUUGACGUGGCACAUGUCCCGUCCCUUAUGUCAACUUAUACACCACUUGUAUAUGCUGUAAAGUAAGAAAAUUUAAUUUAAAAUUUUUCAUACAAAAUAUAAUCAUUGUUUUUUAGGUUCAAAUAUUUAUAACAAUGUAGCAUUUCACUGCGAGGGUGUUAAAACGUAACAAAGACAUCAACACUUCAAUCUAAAAUAGACCACUAAUAUUUGGAAAUGGAUUGGAAGCAAAUUGGAACAAUUUUUUGUAUAAAGAUGACAUAUUUUAUC
This is a non-coding RNA of Hydra vulgaris (swiftwater hydra), 1019 nucleotides long. NCBI's taxonomy places the organism in Eukaryota, Metazoa, Cnidaria, Hydrozoa, Anthoathecata, Hydridae. The record is from RefSeq and is a predicted model, not a curated record.